UUAGGAAUCUUUCACAAUGGGCGAAAGCCUGAUGGAGCGACGCCGCGUGAGGGAUGAAGGCCUUAGGGUUGUAAACCUCUAAAAGAGGGACGAUAAUGACGGUACCUCUUGAAUAGCACCGGCUAACUCCGUGCCAGCAGCCGCGGUAAUACGGAGGGUGCAAGCGUUAUCCGGAAUCACUGGGCGUAAAGGGCGCGUAGGCGGUCUGUUAAGUCCGAUGUUAAAUCCCGGGGCUCAACCCCGGAUAAGCGUUGGAUACUGGCAGGCUAGACGGUUGGAGAGGCGAGUGGAAUUACCAGUGUAGCGGUGGAAUGCGUAGAUACUGGUAGGAACACCCAUUGCGAAGGCAGCUCGCUGGACAACACGUGACGCUGAGGCGCGAAAGUGUGGGGAGCAAACC
RNAcentral lists this ribosomal RNA (400 nucleotides) under uncultured bacterium. Its description in RNAcentral is "bacterial SSU rRNA". It matches the Rfam family "Bacterial small subunit ribosomal RNA", at positions 355 to 774 of the family's 1533-position model. The record is from RNAcentral.